This is a long non-coding RNA of Sapajus apella (tufted capuchin), 679 nucleotides long. RefSeq lists it as uncharacterized. The record is from RefSeq and is a predicted model, not a curated record. The transcript has 2 exons. NCBI's taxonomy places the organism in Eukaryota, Metazoa, Chordata, Mammalia, Primates, Cebidae.
GGGAAGGUUGCGGAAACUUUAUCCCCAACUCUCAUGACCUUUCUCCAAUUAGGCUGUGUAAUAAGAAGAAAGGCAAAGGAGGGGGAAAGAAGUCCGGAGGAAACGGCCCUGGGUGCUGGCCUUUUCCAAGGGUGAUGCAACAGGGUCAGACAGAAGAGGAGGAGGAGGAGAUAAUGAGGCACAAGAGAAACUGAAGAUCAUCUAUAUUUUAUUUUGGAAUAGAAUCACAAAUAAAUUUUAAAGUACACACUAAUAGUCUAUUCCUGACAUCAGUUCCCGCCAAUAUAGUGCUGUCUACAGGUCAUCCUACUUCACUCCGACCAAGCCAAACGAAGUCAUAUUACUCAAGUCAAUUACUGAUGAUUCACUGGAUCAUAUCCAAAAAAGUGACCUAGCAGAGAUUUAUGAAAAGCUUAUUAUCCAUAUUGCCUCUGAAUAAAGCCUGUGGAUCUCAGAGAUUAUAUCCCAAUAUGGACUUUUCAAUCAAGAAGGCCUCUCUCACAUCCUUUGUAGGAGGAUGGCUUCCAAAGGCUGAAGUGGGGGAAGCAAAGUUACUGGCUCAGUAGCAGAUUGUCAACAUAAUCACGGAUUUCAUGAGGUGUGUCCCUGAAGGGCUCCCCCUGUCUUCUCAAAAAAUCCUCCACUAAAAAUGUUUAUUCUGACUAGCCUUAAAACAAAA